RNAcentral lists this small RNA (83 nucleotides) under Marmota monax (woodchuck). The record is from RNAcentral. Lineage: Eukaryota; Metazoa; Chordata; Mammalia; Rodentia; Sciuridae.
GCCGGGUGUGGUGGUGCACACCUGCGAUCCCAGCAACCUGGGAGGCUGAGGCAAGAGGAUCGGAAGUUUGAGGCCAGCCUCUG